Molecule: RNA transcript, 1928 nt
Organism: Zea mays
Lineage: Eukaryota; Viridiplantae; Streptophyta; Magnoliopsida; Poales; Poaceae
Gene name: tryptophan synthase alpha chain, chloroplastic
Exons: 7
Source: RefSeq, a predicted model, not a curated record
CACACGCGAACGCGACACUCGCAAAGUCGCAAGCGGGUCGCAAUCAAGGCUGCUCCCCUCUAUCUCCGUGUUCGCCCCUCGGUUCACCACCCGCCGCCGCCGAGACCUCCUCCUCGCCGGCUACUCCUGACCCCAUAAAGGCAGCGCUCGGAGGUGGCCCUCUGUCGGGUGGAGUGGUGGACACAUCCGCGCCCAUGGCCAACCGCGGCGCUGCGGCCGGCAAGCUCACCGUCGCCGAGACAUUCUCCAACCUCAGGGAGCAAGGCAAGAGUGCAUUCAUCCCGUUCAUCACUGCUGGUGAUCCUGACCUGGCAACCACAUCAAAAGCAUUGAAGAUUCUCAAUUCCUGCGGUUCGGAUGUUAUAGAGGUUGGCGUACCAUACUCGGAUCCACUGGCUGAUGGACCAGUUAUUCAGAUUGACAUCAUUUCAGGCUUCUGCAACACGGGCGCUUAAGAAAGGCACUACACUCGAUUCUGUCAUAGAAAUGCUGAAGGGGGUUACACCUGAGCUUUCUUGCCCCAUUGUUCUUUUCACAUACUAUAAUCCAAUUCUGAAACGUGGUGUGGGAAACUUCAUGUCUUUUAUCAAACAAGCUGGCAUACAUGGACUUGUAGUGCCUGAUCUUCCCUUGGAGGAGACAGCGUUGCUGAGGAGCGAGGCCAUUAUGCACAACAUAGAGCUGGUUCAUACCCACUCUCAUCUUUGCAUGCACCACUUGCACAAAGUUUGUUGCGUACUUGUGUUGCUAUCUGGGUGCUAACUAAAUUCUUACUCGAGAUGGGACCUAUCAAAUCUUCAGAUUGGGCUCUGCCCAUUCCAGACCUGCAAAUAUACACAGUUGCAAAAGAUCUUCUGGGCCUUUGCAGCAACCCAGCCCUAGAAGCGGGUCUAGCUACUUGGGCUCACACAUGUCAACAGGGUUUGUCCAGUCCACUAAAUUCAGGAUAGGUUACAUCAAGGCCUUUUUUUUAUUUCUUGUAACCUGGUUUGGUACCACACCGAAUAGCUUUGCUUAUUAAUCAUGGUGGACCAAUCAACAGAAUAGAUAUCUUGAGUGUAAUGUACUUGGUAUUUUUAUAAAAGCUUCCUUUAUCGAAAAAAAUCUUGAGUAUCAGCCAUAUACCAUUUUUUUUUGCAUGAUUGCUUGCAGGUGCUGCUUACAACGCCAACCACGCCAACAGAUCGGAUGAAGGGAAUUGCACAAGCUUCAGAAGGAUUUCUCUAUCUUGUGAGCGCUGUAGGGGUUACAGGUGCACGCUCAAAUGUAAACUUACGUGUAGAACACCUUCUUAGGGAGAUCAAGAAGGUUACAGACAAACCGGUAGCUGUUGGUUUCGGUGUAUCGACUCCAGAGCAUGUGAAACAGAUCGUGGGCUGGGGAGCGGACGGUGUGAUUGUUGGCAGUGCGAUUGUGAGGCAGUUGUGUGAGGCUGCUACUCCUGAAGAGGGUCUGGAAAGGCUCGAGGAGUACGCCAGGAGUAUGAAGGCUGCUAUGCCGUGAGCUGAUCUCACUCCCCGUCACAGGCAAGGUAAAUAGAACAUGGUUUUAGCAAUAUUCUGGGCAUGGGUUUGGCAUCCAGAACUCAUCUUAGUGCUGUACGGGUCGUUCUCGGGUGGUGAGAACGAAGUCUGGCUUUGCCUAUAAUAGAAAAGGGUUAAACUGAGUUAGUGCGACAUUUUGAUGGAAAAGCGAGUGAUUGCGAGAUAUCAGUUCAUGCUUAUUGGCAGAUCCUUUUUUUUUUUUUUUGCUGAAAGAUGGAAAUGUUAGGGAUGAGGUUGCCCUGGCCUCUUGAGAGGAUAGGAAUAAGAGAGGAUAAGUUCGUUAUGAUUUAUAUGGCUUUCCGCUUGAACCCCACCAGCUGGUGUCCAUGGGGAUGCGGGCAGAGCAGUGUCUGAUUGGCUGCACUGAAAAUGACAUUACCUUCA